UACGUUCCCGGGCCUUGUACACACCGCCCGUCACGUCACGAAAGUCGGUAACACCCGAAGCCGGUGGCCCAACCCGUAAGGGAGGGAGCUGUCGAAGGUGGGACUGGCGAUUGGGACG
RNAcentral lists this ribosomal RNA (118 nucleotides) under uncultured bacterium. Its description in RNAcentral is "partial 16S ribosomal RNA". It matches the Rfam family "Bacterial small subunit ribosomal RNA", at positions 1367 to 1482 of the family's 1533-position model. The record is from RNAcentral.